Molecule: ribosomal RNA, 788 nt
Filed under: uncultured Sulfitobacter sp.
Lineage: Bacteria; Pseudomonadati; Pseudomonadota; Alphaproteobacteria; Rhodobacterales; Roseobacteraceae
Description: bacterial SSU rRNA
Rfam family: Bacterial small subunit ribosomal RNA
Source: RNAcentral
GCUGGCGGCAGGCCUAACACAUGCAAGUCGAGCGCACCCCUUCGGGGCGAGCGGCGGACGGGUUAGUAACGCGUGGGAACAUACCCUUUUCUACGGAAUAGCCUCGGGAAACUGAGAGUAAUACCGUAUAAGCCCUUCGGGGGAAAGAUUUAUCGGGAAAGGAUUGGCCCGCGUUAGAUUAGAUAGUUGGUGGGGUAAUGGCCUACCAAGUCUACGAUCUAUAGCUGGUUUUAGAGGAUGAUCAGCAACACUGGGACUGAGACACGGCCCAGACUCCUACGGGAGGCAGCAGUGGGGAAUCUUAGACAAUGGGCGCAAGCCUGAUCUAGCCAUGCCGCGUGUGUGAUGAAGGCCUUAGGGUCGUAAAGCACUUUCGCCAGAGAUGAUAAUGACAGUAUCUGGUAAAGAAACCCCGGCUAACUCCGUGCCAGCAGCCGCGGUAAUACGGAGGGGGUUAGCGUUGUUCGGAAUUACUGGGCGUAAAGCGUACGUAGGCGGAUCAGAAAGUAUAGGGUGAAAUCCCGAGGCUCAACCUCGGAACUGCCUUGUAAACUCCUGGUCUUGAGUUCGAGAGAGGUGAGUGGAAUUCCAAGUGUAGAGGUGAAAUUCGUAGAUAUUUGGAGGAACACCAGUGGCGAAGGCGGCUCACUGGCUCGAUACUGACGCUGAGGUACGAAAGUGUGGGGAGCAAACAGGAUUAGAUACCCUGGUAGUCCACACCGUAAACGAUGAAUGCCAGUCGUCGGGCAGUAUACUGUUCGGUGACACACCUAACGGAUUAAGCAUCC